RNAcentral lists this long non-coding RNA (741 nucleotides) under Lathyrus oleraceus (garden pea). RNAcentral describes it as "Pisum sativum (pea) long non-coding RNA (PSAT_LNC032988)". The record is from RNAcentral. Lineage: Eukaryota; Viridiplantae; Streptophyta; Magnoliopsida; Fabales; Fabaceae.
UUUCCCGUUGUUUUGAGUAGUAUAGGUAUUAGUAGAGUGUGCUAAUACUGUGAUUGAUUAAUUGGCAUGACAUGAUAUGAUUAUGUGAUAAAUAUGCUGAUGAUGUGUGAAAAUAUGCAUAAUGUUGUGAAUGUAUAUAUUAUGCAUGUGUUGGUGAAUGGACUGUUGAUUGGCUUAGAGUGUGAGCAUAUGUCCAUUGUGGAUUGUUGUUGAUGAUGUUGCAUUGCUAGGUGAAUUAGCAUGCAUAUUGUGGCCUUUAUGGUGGUAGCUAAUUCCCAUGGUGAGGAAUUAGUGAGUAAAUCAUUGUAGAUUGUUGUUGAUGUUUGCAUGCUAGGUGAUUAGCGUGCAUAGCAUGGCCCUUGGGGUGGUAGCUAAUUCCCAUGGUGAGGAAUUAGUGAGUGAGUCACUAGGUCUCAAAUGAGUGGGACUAGUGGGCUUGGUAGCCGUACCUGGAUUUGGUCGGUGAGGUUGAACUAUAUGUUCACGAAUAGUCGGUACCGCAUGCAUGGAGUCUCAUUGCAUAAUGUAUGUAUGGCGUAUGAUAUGAAUGGAUGUAUUCCAGUAUUAUACGUGUGUUGUGUGUUGUGUGUUGUGUUGAUGUUGAGUAUGAUUGAGUUGAUAUUGUCGUUGCUGAAUGGGUAAUCUGAUUUGGGUGAUGAAAUGUGUUAAAUUACUUAACAUUGCAUGAUAUUUUAUAAUGCUUAUUAUAUCGAUUGAGGAACUCACCCUUACAACUGUUUU